RNAcentral lists this ribosomal RNA (253 nucleotides) under uncultured bacterium. Its description in RNAcentral is "partial 16S ribosomal RNA". It matches the Rfam family "Bacterial small subunit ribosomal RNA", at positions 524 to 776 of the family's 1533-position model. The record is from RNAcentral.
UACGGAGGGUGCGAGCGUUAUCCGGAAUUACUGGGUUUAAAGGGUGCGUAGGCGGCGCAGUAAGUCAGGAGUGAAAGUUUGCGGCUCAACCGUAAAAUUGCUUUUGAUACUGCUGUGCUAGAAUUAGGAUGAGGUCAGCGGAAUGUGGCAUGUAGCGGUGAAAUGCAUAGAUAUGCCAUAGAACACCAAUUGCAAAGGCAGCUGGCUAGACCUAUAUUGACGCUGAGGCACGAAAGCGUGGGGAGCGAACAGG